GACAGGAUAAAGAGACUCGCCUCCACCACAUUUCCCAGAAGGAACAGCCUGCUGCCCUUUGUCACCUGACCAGUCAGAGAAAAAUGAUUGGUCAGGUGAUGAUUUAAAGCCAGGAUGCAGCCAGCAGGUCUAAAGCAAUGGAUUGCAAAAGGGUGUGAAGGAGCUGAGUGAGCAGCAAGCAAACAUUCUGUAAUACACUGGAUGAUGAUGUGGAAAAUGGUUGGAUUUGAUUGGCUGUUCUACUGGCCUUGCGAUGGACCAGUAUUCAAUUCAUGGGAUGAGCAGCUCCACAAUCUCAAUCCAGAUUUCCACCCUAGACGUCUGGAGACACUUAUUAGGAUAAAAGCCUUUUCUGAUGAUGGGUGGAAUCCCACUGCUUAA
RNAcentral lists this long non-coding RNA (381 nucleotides) under Lepisosteus oculatus (spotted gar). Its description in RNAcentral is "lncRNA (ENSLOCG00000022497.1)". Lineage: Eukaryota; Metazoa; Chordata; Actinopteri; Semionotiformes; Lepisosteidae. The record is from RNAcentral.